This 73-nucleotide transfer RNA is filed under the name Pseudomonadota bacterium. RNAcentral describes it as "tRNA-Arg". It matches the Rfam family "tRNA". From Rfam's summary of the family: Transfer RNA (tRNA) molecules are approximately 80 nucleotides in length. Their secondary structure includes four short double-helical elements and three loops (D, anti-codon, and T loops). RNAcentral also lists the same sequence under 1 other name. Lineage: Bacteria; Pseudomonadati; Pseudomonadota. The record is from RNAcentral.
GCGCCCAUAGCUCAAUGGAUAGAGCGCCGGACUUCGAAUCCGUAGGUUGGGCGUUCGACCCGCCCUGGGCGCG